RNAcentral lists this ribosomal RNA (352 nucleotides) under uncultured bacterium. Its description in RNAcentral is "partial 16S ribosomal RNA". It matches the Rfam family "Bacterial small subunit ribosomal RNA", at positions 338 to 682 of the family's 1533-position model. The record is from RNAcentral.
CCUACGGGAGGCAGCAGUGGGGAAUAGUGCGCAAUGGGCGAAAGCCUGACGCAGCGACGCCGCGUGAGGGAUGAAGGUCUUCGGAUCGUAAACCUCUGUCAGCAGGGAAGAACGGUCACUGGGCUAAGCAGCAGUGAAUGGACGGUACCGGCAAAGGAAGCACCGGCUAACUCCGUGCCAGCAGCCGCGGUAAUACGGAGGGUGCGAGCGUUAAUCGGAAUUACUGGGCGUAAAGCGCUCGUAGGCGGGAUGUCAAGUCAAGGGUGAAAUCCCAGCGCUCAACUUGGGAACUGCCUUUGACACUGGCACACUGGAGUGUGUUAGCGGUUAGUGGACUUCCUGGUGUAGGCGU